CACACACAUCGUCAGAGGCAGGACGGGAGAGGUGAAGCUACCGUCUAACUCAUACAUAGCACAGGGGCCCUUGCUGCACUGCACUGCUGGAGUGUGUAGGGAUUGGCAUACUGUGGUGGACAGGGACAGGGGACACAGUGAAUCUGCCUCAGUAACGCCAGGAAGCUGGACAGGAACCAUACAACAAAUCCAGCAUCAUUUCUGCAGCAUGUCAUUGCCAUCUAGGAGACAGGACAAGGCCUUUUCCAUCAAUGGCCAGUUGGCAGAGCUAUUUCACCAGUGGUCAGAAUCAAUGAUCUUCUCUUGGGUAUCAUGGAAUUUUCGAGAAGCAGCUGAAUGGAGAAGAGAAGAAUCUCUAGGUGGCUCCCCAGGGACAAUCAAAUAAAUAUAAGUGUGUCUUCCAGAGAGCUGAGCACAGUCCAUGGUGGUUACACUGCUUUAAGAAAAGGACCGAGUGGCCAUCAGCUCAGUUAAGCACCUCACCCUCCUGUUGCAAUUUUUGGCUUUGCUGCCUGAAGUAACAGAAACUUUUGUGUCACGUCUUCCUCCUCAAAGUCAACUACACGACUGCAUUCACCAGUCAAGAAAACCACGGCGAACAGUGUACAUGCUCUACUGCGAAGGUCUCCCUUUAACCCAAUAUCUCUUUGUUCCCAAAUGAGGAAAAUCAGCAAGCAGGACCCACGCCCAUCGAUCUCAAGUUGCCGAUGCGGGUUGAGAAGUUCAGUGCACCAGCUUCUGACCCCUUCAGCAGUCUUGUUGACUUUGGCCUCUGUAGAGACUCUUGUUUAUUUGUGCAUAAAAUGCCUC
Long non-coding RNA from Arvicanthis niloticus (Nile rat), 810 nucleotides. RefSeq lists it as uncharacterized. Lineage: Eukaryota; Metazoa; Chordata; Mammalia; Rodentia; Muridae. The record is from RefSeq and is a predicted model, not a curated record.